Molecule: non-coding RNA, 26 nt
Filed under: Mus musculus (house mouse)
Lineage: Eukaryota; Metazoa; Chordata; Mammalia; Rodentia; Muridae
Source: RNAcentral
UAUAAGAAAGAGUGUCUAGUUCAGAU